RNAcentral lists this ribosomal RNA (467 nucleotides) under uncultured bacterium. Its description in RNAcentral is "partial 16S ribosomal RNA". It matches the Rfam family "Bacterial small subunit ribosomal RNA", at positions 28 to 507 of the family's 1533-position model. The record is from RNAcentral.
GACGAACGCUGGCGGCGUGCUUAACACAUGCAAGUCGAACGGAAAGGCUCCAGCUUGCUGGAGUACUCGAGUGGCGAACGGGUGAGUAACACGUGGGUAAUCUGCCCUGCACUCUGGGAUAAGCCUGGGAAACUGGGUCUAAUACUGGAUAUGACCUUUCUCCUUAUGGGGUUUGGUGGAAAGUUUUUCGGUGUAGGAUGAGCCCGCGGCCUAUCAGCUUGUUGGUGGGGUGAUGGCCUACCAAGGCGACGACGGGUAGCCGGCCUGAGAGGGUGAUCGGCCACAUUGGUACUGAGAUACGGCCCAGACUCCUACGGGAGGCAGCAGUGGGGAAUAUUGCACAAUGGGCGGAAGCCUGAUGCAGCGACGCCGCGUGAGGGAUGACGGCCUUCGGGUUGUAAACCUCUUUCAGCAGGGACGAAGCGUAAGUGACGGUACCUGCAGAAGAAGCACCGGCUAACUAUGUG